Molecule: ribosomal RNA, 519 nt
Filed under: uncultured eukaryote
Lineage: Eukaryota
Description: SSU rRNA
Rfam family: Eukaryotic small subunit ribosomal RNA
Source: RNAcentral
AGGGCACCACCAGGAGUGGAGCCUGCGGCUUAAUUUGACUCAACACGGGAAAACUCACCCGGCCCGGACACUGGAAGGAUUGACAGACUGAGAGCUCUUUCUUGAUUCAGUGGGUGGUGGUGCAUGGCCGUUCUUAGUUGGUGGAGUGAUUUGUCUGGUUAAUUCCGAUAACGAACGAGACUCUAGCCUACUAAAUAGAUCGUUGGCUUACAAACGCCGAACGAGACUUCUUAGAGGGACAGGCGGUGAUUCAACCGCACGAAACAGAGCAAUAACGGGUCUGUGAUGCCCUUAGAUGUCCGGGGCCGCACGCGCGCUACACUGAAGUGAUCAGCGUGCAUUCUAUGCCUACUCUGUCAAGAGUGGGAAACCCAAUGAACCUUCUUCGUGAUUGGGAUAGGAGAUUGUAAUUAUUCUCCUUGAACGAGGAAUUCCCAGUAAGCGCGAGUCAUAAGCUCGCGUUGAUUACGUCCCUGCCCUUUGUACACACCGCCCGUCGCUACUACCGAUUGAAUGUUU